ACUGAUGGAGAGGGGCACUUAGAGCAAGAUACCCGACCUUGACUGGGGACCAAGCACGAAAUCCCUAAGAGGUGACAGGAAGAGAGAAGUCUGAAACGUUAAGUGAGUUAACCAGAUGGUGUCAGAAGUGGAAUCCAAAGAAGAGCUAACAACCCCCAGGAGCGCUGAGCGUGGUUCCCACUCGGCCCAUUGUGCCCAUUGCUCUCUUGGAGCAGCUGGGGAUCGUGAGUUUCGCUCUUGUUUCCCAGGCUAGAGUACAAUGGCACAAUCACGGGUCACCGCAACCUCCACCCCCUGGGCUCAAGUGAUUCCCCUGCCUCAGCCUCCUGAGUAGCUGGGAUUACAGAAUUUGAUCAGAGAAGCUGAACCACUACAAGCAAUGUUAAGAAUUUAUUGCUGGAAUACCCCUUACACAAUUGAGAGAGCCAGUUAAGCUAUGUGAGCCUGCUACCCCUAGAACUGGAGCUGGGCUUGAAGUCUGUAAGACUAGGAAGGAAUGAGGAGGGCAGGACCAAAGUGGAACCUGUGAAGGUAAACUUGGCAUCCAUAUCUGUUUCUCAGCUGAACUGGCAGUGGUAUCUCAGCACCUCCAAGCCUCCAACUUUGAUGAUGUUCUGCAAAAGAGCUUGAACAAAUUGCCAAAACAUCAGCCCCUGACAUGAGCAGCUUUCAGAAAAACUGAAGGAGGAGAUCCAGGGGCAGUUUGAGAAGCUGCCAACCAAGCUGCUGCACUAUGCAGAUCCACCACAAUGUCAUAAACUGUGUGAGCAGCAACAGUGCGUGACCCCACACAGGUCUGAGUGUAAUUCUGGCUGCUGGAUUCCAGUUAGACUUUAAAUUCCAUGCAAAUUUCACUUGUGGCAAAUCUUAACUUAGAACUGAACAUGGAAGAGAAUACUGAGAAACUUAGAUCCAACUAACCUGACAGUUUACAAAGCCACCACAGUCUAUCUUUUGUGAAGUCAUCGUCCAAUAUAUAUCCCUCUUUUAAUUAUACUAAACUCCCAAAUAAAUGCAAUGGCAAAAUCAUGAGUCUACCUAAUAGGAUUCAACCAUACUCUGUAUAACCAAAACUCACUCCCCUUUCCCAAAAGAGGAUUCAGAGUCUUUUUUGGCUGAUAUUUAUUCCUCUUCUUACUGAACCAUGCUUUCUCAAAUGCUUAGAUAUAAUGCUUGCUACUAUGAAAACAUGUUAGAUGGUAGAGGUACGGGAGGGAGAAUGAAAAAAAAUGACAUGUAUAAGAAAGAAAGAAAAUGAGUUACAUAUGUGUAUACACACAUGUAUGUAUUUAUAUUCAUAUCAAAAUAAGGAAGAAAUAUUAAUGAUUAUCAUUUCCUUUCUGCAACUUGAAAAAUUGUCAUAGCUGAUACUUAUAAUGACCAUUUUCCAAUAUACCUUUUAUAUCCCCUAUGACCUGGGUAAGCACCUUGAUGGGUGAUGCUUCCUUGCUUUGUAGGGUGACCUAAAUCUUUAUUUUUGAAGGUGUAGUCAUUAGAACUGCGGCCUCUAUUGAGUCAUUCUAGUUUCCACUGACUUUAACGACUGGACAUGGGAGUUCUAAGCAAUACCCUAUGAAAUUUCCUGAAUUCAGGAAUACUCUUCCUUAUCCCCAAUGUGUAGUAGUAACCCAAUUUUUCAUUGAUAUUCACUCAAUUUUUCAUUGAUAUUCGAGAUCAAUCUAGCAAAUACAAUAAAUCUCAUUUUUGCCUGUC
Long non-coding RNA from Homo sapiens (human), 1713 nucleotides. RefSeq lists it as uncharacterized. Lineage: Eukaryota; Metazoa; Chordata; Mammalia; Primates; Hominidae. The transcript is spliced from 4 exons. The record is from RefSeq and is a predicted model, not a curated record.